AUUUAGAGGAAGUAAAAGUCGUAACAAGGUUUCCGUAGGUGAACCUGCGGAAGGAUCAUUAAGAGAUACGCCGGGGGCGCCCUCCCGGCACCCCGAGCCAGCAAACCCCCUGUGUACCCUUUCCAUGUUGCUUCCCCAGGCCAGCGGCCACCUGCCGCCAGCCCGACCCCUCCCGCGGUCCACCACGGGCUGAGGCGCCUGGGGGAGGUCCCUGCCCCAACAAAGUGGUCCAAUCAAUGCAGUCUGAGCAGGCCACCUGCCUGAACCAGGUAACAUGUUAAAACUUUCAACAACGGAUCUCUUGGCUCUCGCAUCGAUGAAGAACGCAGCGAAAUGCGAUAAGUAAUGUGAAUUGCAGAAUUCAGUGAAUCAUCGAAUCUUUGAACGCACAUUGCGCCCUCUGGCAUUCCUCAGGGCAUGCCUGUUCGAGCGUCAAUAGAAACCCCCCUCACCCUCCCGGUGGUACUGGGGGAGGUGGGUCGCCCUCCAGGCGCCAGAUCCACCCCCCUGAAAAGCAUGGGCCCGAGAGACGACGGCUGCGACUGACACUCUAAGCGCUUUCU
Molecule: unclassified non-coding RNA, 563 nt
Filed under: Tuber tomentosum
Lineage: Eukaryota; Fungi; Ascomycota; Pezizomycetes; Pezizales; Tuberaceae
Description: Tuber sp. 2 KA-2010 partial contains 18S rRNA, ITS1, 5.8S rRNA and ITS2
Rfam family: 5.8S ribosomal RNA (bases 282-435)
Source: RNAcentral